This 66-nucleotide transfer RNA is filed under the name Suwallia errata. RNAcentral's name for it is "tRNA-Asn". Lineage: Eukaryota; Metazoa; Arthropoda; Insecta; Plecoptera; Chloroperlidae. The record is from RNAcentral.
UUAGUUGAAGCCAAAAAGAGGCGUAUCACUGUUAAUGAUAUCAUUGAAUUAUAAAUUCCAACUAAG